GGUGAGCACUCCUACGGGAGGCAGCAGUGGGGAAUAUUGCACAAUGGGCGCAAGCCUGAUGCAGCCAUGCCGCGUGUAUGAAGAAGGCCUUCGGGUUGUAAAGUACUUUCAGCAGUGAGGAAGGUGGAUAUGUUAAUAGCAUAUUCAUUUGACGUUAGCUGCAGAAGAAGCACCGGCUAACUCCGUGCCAGCAGCCGCGGUAAUACGGAGGGUGCGAGCGUUAAUCGGAAUUACUGGGCGUAAAGCGCAUGCAGGUGGUUUGUUAAGUCAGAUGUGAAAGCCCGGGGCUCAACCUCGGAAUUGCAUUUGAAACUGGCAAACUAGAGUACUGUAGAGGGGGUAGAAUUUCAGGUGUAGCGGUGAAAUGCGUAGAGAUCUGAAGGAAUACCGGUGGCGAAGGCGGCCCCCUGGACAGAUACUGACACUCAGAUGCGAAAGCGUGGGGAGCAAACAGGAUUAGAUACCCUGGUAG
This 472-nucleotide ribosomal RNA is filed under the name uncultured bacterium. Its description in RNAcentral is "bacterial SSU rRNA". It matches the Rfam family "Bacterial small subunit ribosomal RNA", at positions 328 to 793 of the family's 1533-position model. The record is from RNAcentral.